UGAAUAUCUCGCUUUGAAGUCGGAGGUUUCAUAUCGAGAAUCGCUUUGAUUUUUUCGAGAUUAGCUUCUAUGCCUCGUCUUAUUAUCAUGAAUCUGAAGAACUUUUCUGAAGUUACUUUGAAUGCACACUUAGCCGGAUUCAACUUUAUUUAAUGUUUCCUCAAGGCAUUGAAGGCUUAUACUAAGUCGUCGAUAUGGAGGGAGCCU
Molecule: long non-coding RNA, 207 nt
Filed under: Elaeis guineensis (African oil palm)
Lineage: Eukaryota; Viridiplantae; Streptophyta; Magnoliopsida; Arecales; Arecaceae
Description: long non-coding RNA (EGUI_LNC013814)
Source: RNAcentral